CUUUACUGUAGCUUGGAAUUGAGUUUGGGUUUAUUUUGCGCAGUAUAGGUGGGAGGCUAAGAUAAUAAGCUUGAGGGUUUAUUGGAGCCAGUAGUGAGAUACCACUCUAAAUAAACUAGAAUUCUAACUUUGAUAGUCGUUAACCGGCCAAGGAACAGUUUCAGGUGGGCAGUUUGACUGGGGCGGUCGCCUCCUAAAAGGUAACGGAGGCGUGCAAAGGUUCCUUCAGGCUGGUCGGAAAUCAGUCGUAGAGUAUAAAGGCAUAAAGGAGCUUGACUGCAAGACCUACAAGUCGAGCAGAGACGAAAGUCGGCCUUAGUGAUCCGGCAGUGCUGAGUGGAAAGGCUGUCGCUCAACGGAUAAAAGUU
RNAcentral lists this ribosomal RNA (368 nucleotides) under Gibsmithia dotyi. RNAcentral's name for it is "bacterial LSU rRNA". It matches the Rfam family "Bacterial large subunit ribosomal RNA", at positions 2099 to 2464 of the family's 2925-position model. The record is from RNAcentral. Lineage: Eukaryota; Rhodophyta; Florideophyceae; Gigartinales; Dumontiaceae.